CAAAGGCUUGGUCCUAACUUUAUUGUCAACUUUAGCUAAAAUUACACAUGCAAGUAUCCGCACCCCUGUGAGAAUGUCCUUAAACAUCUUAUGAAAUAAAGGAACUGGUAUCAGGCACACAAUUGUAGCCCAAAACACCUUGCUUAGCCACACCCCCAAGGGAAUUCAGCAGUGAUAAAUAUUAAGCAAUGAGUAUAAACUUGACUUAGUUAAAGCUAACAGGGCCGGUAAAACUCGUGCCAGCCACCGCGGUUAUACGAGAGGCUCAAGCUGACAGGAUCCGGCGUAAAGAGUGGUUAGGUAGUUUUAACUAAAGUAGAACACCCUUCAAGCUGUUAUACGCAUUCAAGGGUAUGAAAAUCUAUUGCGAAGGCAACUUUAAUAUACUGACUCCACGAAAGCUGUGACACAAACUGGGAUUAGAUACCCCACUAUGCAUAGCUGUAAACAUAGAUGUAUUACUUACCACUACAUCCGCCUGGGGACUACAAGCACCAGCUUGAAACCCAAAGGACUUGGCGGUGCUUUAGACCCCCCUAGAGGAGCCUGUUCUGUAACUGAUAACCCCCGUUAAACCUCACCCCUUCUUGCUCUAUCCGCCUAUAUACCGCCGUCGUCAGCUUACCCUAUGAAGGUCUUAUAGUAAGCAAAAGUGGUAAAACCCAAAACGUCAGGUCGAGGUGUAGUACAUGGAGGGGGAAGAAAUGGGCUACAUUCACCAAAUGGUGAAAACGAAUGGUUUAAUGAAAUAUAAACCUGAAGGUGGAUUUAGCAGUAAGAAGAAAAUAGAGUGUUCUUCUGAAACUGGCUCUUAAGCGCGCACACACCGCCCGUCACUCUCCCCCAGUGUACCCAAUAUAUAACUAAAACACUAGCUUCACAUAAGGGGAGACAAGUCGUAACAUGGUAAGUGUACCGGAAGGUGUACUUGGAAUAU
This 937-nucleotide non-coding RNA is filed under the name Acentronura tentaculata. RNAcentral's name for it is "12S ribosomal RNA". It matches the Rfam family "Bacterial small subunit ribosomal RNA". The record is from RNAcentral. Lineage: Eukaryota; Metazoa; Chordata; Actinopteri; Syngnathiformes; Syngnathidae.